Molecule: ribosomal RNA, 441 nt
Filed under: uncultured bacterium
Lineage: Bacteria
Description: partial 16S ribosomal RNA
Rfam family: Bacterial small subunit ribosomal RNA
Source: RNAcentral
CCUACGGGCGGCAGCAGUGGGGGAUAUUGCACAAUGGGGGAAACCCUGAUGCAGCGACGCCGCGUGGGUGAAGAAGUAUUUCGGUAUGUAAAGCCCUAUCAGCAGGGAAGAAAGAAGACGGUACCUGACUAAGAAGCCCCGGCUAACUACGUGCCAGCAGCCGCGGUAAUACGUAGGGGGCGAGCGUUAUCCGGAUUCACUGGGUGUAAAGGGAGCGUAGACGGCCGUGCAAGCCAGGAGUGAACUCCCGGGGCCCAACCCCGGGACUGCUCUUGGAACUGGGCGGCUGGAGUGCGGGAGGGGCAGGCGGAAUGCCUGGUGUAGCGGUGAAAUGCGUAGAUAUCAGGAGGAACACCGGCGGCGAAGGCGGCCUGCUGGACCGCGACUGACGUUGAGGCUCGAAAGCGUGGGGAGCGAACAGGAUUAGAUACCCCAGUAGUC